UAGGGAAUCUUCCGCAAUGGACGCAAGUCUGACGGAGCAACGCCGCGUGAGUGAAGAAGGAUUUCGGUUCGUAAAACUCUGUUGUUAGAGAAGAACAGCGCAUAGAGUAACUGUUAUGCGUGUGACGGUAUCUAACCAGAAAGCCACGGCUAACUACGUGCCAGCAGCCGCGGUAAUACGUAGGUGGCAAGCGUUGUCCGGAUUUAUUGGGCGUAAAGCGAGCGCAGGCGGUCAAUUAAGUCUGAUGUGAAAGCCCCCGGCUCAACCGGGGAGGGUCAUUGGAAACUGGUUGUCUUGAGUGCAGAAGAGGAGAGUGGAAUUCCAUGUGUAGCGGUGAAAUGCGUAGAUAUAUGGAGGAACACCAGUGGCGAAGGCGACUCUCUGGUCUGUAACUGACGCGGAGGCUCGAAAGCGUGGGUAGCAAACAGG
This 429-nucleotide ribosomal RNA is filed under the name Bacteroidota bacterium. Its description in RNAcentral is "Bacteroidetes bacterium partial 16S ribosomal RNA". It matches the Rfam family "Bacterial small subunit ribosomal RNA", at positions 355 to 776 of the family's 1533-position model. Lineage: Bacteria; Pseudomonadati; Bacteroidota. The record is from RNAcentral.